This 468-nucleotide ribosomal RNA is filed under the name uncultured bacterium. Its description in RNAcentral is "partial 16S ribosomal RNA". It matches the Rfam family "Bacterial small subunit ribosomal RNA", at positions 28 to 507 of the family's 1533-position model. The record is from RNAcentral.
GACGAACGCUGGCGGCGUGCUUAACACAUGCAAGUCGAACGGAAAGGCCCUGCUUUUGUGGGCUGCUCGAGUGGCGAACGGGUGAGUAACACGUGAGUAACCUGCCCUUGACUUUGGGAUAACUUCAGGAAACUGGGGCUAAUACCGGAUAGGAGCUCCUGCUGCAUGGUGGGGGUUGGAAAGUUUCGGCGGUUGGGGAUGGACUCGCGGCUUAUCAGCUUGUUGGUGGGGUAGUGGCUUACCAAGGCUUUGACGGGUAGCCGGCCUGAGAGGGUGACCGGCCACAUUGGGACUGAGAUACGGCCCAGACUCCUACGGGAGGCAGCAGUGGGGAAUAUUGCACAAUGGGCGGAGGCCUGAUGCAGCAACGCCGCGUGCGGGAUGACGGCCUUCGGGUUGUAAACCGCUUUCGCCUGUGACGAAGCGUGAGUGACGGUAAUGGGUAAAGAAGCACCGGCUAACUACGUG